RNAcentral lists this long non-coding RNA (492 nucleotides) under Monomorium pharaonis (pharaoh ant). Its description in RNAcentral is "uncharacterized LOC118648411". The record is from RNAcentral. Lineage: Eukaryota; Metazoa; Arthropoda; Insecta; Hymenoptera; Formicidae.
AACAUUGUUCUGUUGAAUUUUGAAAUGCACGAAGAAGGAGACAUUUAAUUGUAAUGUAUAGUAAUCUUGAAGUGCUUAAUACCAUAGCCACAAAUUUAAAUUAAAAACACCAGUGGUACAAUUAAACACUGGUCCGGAGCUACUUCAAACAACAUGCCACUAGAGUGCUAUCUACACGUUUCAAUCGUACAUUUUAAUAUGGAGAUACCAUAUAACUCUACCUCAAAUGACGUGAUAUCAGAGUGCAAUAUGCAUGUGCUAGUUUUACAAAAAGUAGUUUGGAGCUAGAAAAUGAGUUUACCUCAAUUGAUAUGUGUUCAAUGAUACAAAUGAAGAGGAUGUAAAUAAGUUUAUUGGACUACCAAAAGGUAACAAAGAAAGACAUAAGAUUAUCGGACUAAGGCGAAGAGGCAAUUGUUUAUAUAAUAAAUAUCCCAUGUAUAAUAAGGAAGGACUCAUAGUUUGUAGAAGACCAACAGAAUCAAGAAAAAA